GUGCCAGCCGCCGCGGUAAUACGGAGGGUGCAAGCGUUAAUCGGAAUUACUGGGCGUAAAGAGUGCGUAGGUGGUUUGGUAAGUUAUCUGUGAAAUCCCUGGGCUCAACCUGGGCAGGUCAGAUAAUACUGCUGAACUCGAGUAUGGGAGAGGGUAGUGGAAUUUCCGGUGUAGCGGUGAAAUGCGUAGAGAUCGGAAGGAACACCAGUGGCGAAGGCGGCUACCUGGCCUAAUACUGACACUGAGGCACGAAAGCGUGGGGAGCAAACAGGAUUAGAUACCCGGGUAGUCC
Molecule: ribosomal RNA, 292 nt
Filed under: uncultured bacterium
Lineage: Bacteria
Description: partial 16S ribosomal RNA
Rfam family: Bacterial small subunit ribosomal RNA
Source: RNAcentral